GAGGGCAUAGCUCAAGUGGUAGAGUGCAUGCCUAGCAUGUGUGAGGUCCUGGGUUCAACUCCCAGUGCCUCCU
This 73-nucleotide transfer RNA is filed under the name Camelus dromedarius (Arabian camel). It matches the Rfam family "tRNA". From Rfam's summary of the family: Transfer RNA (tRNA) molecules are approximately 80 nucleotides in length. Their secondary structure includes four short double-helical elements and three loops (D, anti-codon, and T loops). RNAcentral also lists the same sequence under 1 other name. The record is from Rfam by way of RNAcentral. Lineage: Eukaryota; Metazoa; Chordata; Mammalia; Artiodactyla; Camelidae.